AGCUGGUUUUUGGGGCUCCUCUCCCAGAUUUUUCUGGUCCCUAAUUCCCCAUGAGCCUCUCUCUGCUUUCCUUGCUGGGAAUUCCUCCAUGUGCCAGCACCAAACGCUUCCAGGGAUUUCUAAGAAAUCUGCUGGAGAGUCAGCUGUGUCCCUGAGCAAUGGGGAUGAGCCGGGUUUAUUUCAUCUUUAAUUACGCCAUUAAUUAAUAACCUGAGGGAUGUCACUGAGACUUUUCACCUGAGCAGGGCUGGCCUUUGGCUGGCUCUGCAGGAGAGCUUAAAAAACCCACUGGAGAGAUUAUAAAAGUGAAAAAUUCAAGUUUUGUCCUUGCAGCUGGAUGGUCACACCCGAAUUUUAGGAGCUAAUGAAGAUUUUGUGAUUUGCAGCGGUGGCAGGGGCGGGUGACAGAGGGAUUCUCCCACUGGAAUUCAGGAAGGCCAGCAUCCCCGUGCUUCCCCUCCGAGCUGCAGCCUGGAAUCCAGGGAAUCUCAGCUUACACGGAUGUCUGGCAGCCCCAAAGCUCGUGGAACACCGUGGGAGCUGGCCCGGAGCCCGAACUGCUGCUCUGAUGUCACAGCCGGUCACGGGGCAGCGAUGUCCCCUCGGUGACACUCCUGCCUCCCUCAGCUGCAUCCGAAUCCAAGUUCCACCCAGGAGGAGGCUCCCAGGCUUUUAUAACACCUUUGAGAAGCCAUUUACGAGUCUGUUGGAAAUGACACAACUUCUAAAAUGUUUUGUUUUAUGAGAGGAACUUUCCUGGGAGCUGUGCUGCAGCAUCAGUGCUUUUCCAUGAAAACUUUGGAGCAGAGCAGGAGGAGGAGGGAGGGAGGAGGGGCGGAUCCUCCUGGGACUGGCGGUCCCAGCUCCUCCAGCAGCUCCCUGGCACUGCCCAGGCAGCUCCACAGGUUUGGACAUGGAGCCAUCAGAGAUCCGUGUCUGUUCCACGGGUACACAGGAGAGAUGGGAAGGAGCUGCUGCCAAUGGAUGGAGAUCGCAGCUCUGCUCCAGGGUGCUCCCAAGAAACACAAAUCCCACAGCACCAAAACCAGGAGUGGGACUGGAGGAAAAUCCCAGCCCAGGCUGGUUCUGUGUCCCAGGAGCUGCAGUCUGGCUUUGGGGGAUUUUAUCUCCUGGAGAAAAUAUUCCAGGGGCUGCUGCUCCAUCAGCUCCCAGAAAUUGCCUCUGUGGGAACAACUCGGCUCUCCAGGGGAGUGAAACUCCUUCUGAUUUAAUUCAGGAAUAAACCAAACUCUUCAAAUCUCUGAGCCCAAAUUAAUCCUGGUUUUCCAUCUGCAAAAAAAUGGGAGGACCAGAUCCCCAGGGACAGGGGAGGAUGUGGAGUGAGGAGCGGGCAGAAAUCCCCUCAGAGUCUGGAGUCCUUCCCCCAUUUAUUCCCAUUUUUAACGAGUUUUAAGGCACAACAUU
RNAcentral lists this long non-coding RNA (1425 nucleotides) under Taeniopygia guttata (zebra finch). RNAcentral's name for it is "lncRNA (ENSTGUG00000022320.1)". The record is from RNAcentral. Lineage: Eukaryota; Metazoa; Chordata; Aves; Passeriformes; Estrildidae.